RNAcentral lists this ribosomal RNA (245 nucleotides) under uncultured bacterium. RNAcentral describes it as "partial 16S ribosomal RNA". It matches the Rfam family "Bacterial small subunit ribosomal RNA", at positions 524 to 768 of the family's 1533-position model. The record is from RNAcentral.
UACGUAGGGGGCGAGCGUUGUCCGGAAUUAUUGGGCGUAAAGGGCGUGUAGGCUGUUCUGUAAGUUGGAUGUUAAAGGUAUGGGCUCAACUCAUACAUUGCGUUCAAUACUGCAGUUCUAGAGAAUGGUAGAGGAGAACGGAACUUCCGGUGUAGCGGUGAAAUGCGUAGAUAUCGGAAGGAACACCAGUGGCGAAGGCGGUUCUCUGGGCCAUUUCUGACGCUGAGGCGCGAAAGCUAGGGGAG